AUUGAACGCUGGCGGCAGGCCUAACACAUGCAAGUCGAGCGGAUGAAGGGAGCUUGCUCCUGGAUUCAGCGGCGGACGGGUGAGUAAUGCCUAGGAAUCUGCCUGGUAGUGGGGGAUAACGUCCGGAAACGGGCGCUAAUACCGCAUACGUCCUGAGGGAGAAAGUGGGGGAUCUUCGGACCUCACGCUAUCAGAUGAGCCUAGGUCGGAUUAGCUAGUUGGUGGGGUAAAGGCCUACCAAGGCGACGAUCCGUAACUGGUCUGAGAGGAUGAUCAGUCACACUGGAACUGAGACACGGUCCAGACUCCUACGGGAGGCAGCAGCGGGGAAUAUUGGACAAUGGGCGAAAGCCUGAUCCAGCCAUGCCGCGUGUGUGAAGAAGGUCUUCGGAUUGUAAAGCACUUUAAGUUGGGAGGAAGGGCAGUAAGUUAAUACCUUGCUGUUUUGACGUUACCAACAGAAUGAGCACCGGCUAACUUCGUG
Molecule: ribosomal RNA, 484 nt
Filed under: uncultured bacterium
Lineage: Bacteria
Description: partial 16S ribosomal RNA
Rfam family: Bacterial small subunit ribosomal RNA
Source: RNAcentral